This 250-nucleotide ribosomal RNA is filed under the name uncultured bacterium. RNAcentral describes it as "partial 16S ribosomal RNA". It matches the Rfam family "Bacterial small subunit ribosomal RNA", at positions 524 to 773 of the family's 1533-position model. The record is from RNAcentral.
AACGUAGGUACCGAGCGUUAUCCGGAUUUACUGGGCGUAAAGCGCGUUCAGGCGGCUUCACAAGUCGGGCAUGAAAUCCUUCGGCUCAACCGGGGGAGGCUGUCCGAUACUGCGGAGCUUGAGGGCAGUAGAGGGUGGUGGAAUUCCGGGUGUAGUGGUGAAAUGCGUAGAGAUCCGGAGGAACACCAGUGGCGAAGGCAGCCACCUGGACUGCCCCUGACGCUGAAACGCGAAAGCUAGGGGAGCGAAC